GACGAACGCUGGCGGCGUGCUUAACACAUGCAAGUCUUACGAGAAAAGGGUAGCAAUAUCCUGAGUAAAGUGGCGCACGGGUGAGUAACACGUAGGCAAUUUGCCUUUAGGACGGGAACAACCCGGGAAACCGGGGCGUAAUACCCGAUGAUGCAGCGGCUCCGCAUGGAGACAGUUGUUAAACCCCGCAAGGGGCCUAUUGAUGAGCCUGCGUCUGAUUAGCUAGUUGGUGAGGUAACGGCCCACCAAGGCAACGAUCAGUAGCUGGUCUGAGAGGAUGAUCAGCCACACUGGGAACUGAGACACGGUCCAGACUCCUACGGGAGGCAGCAGUGAGGAAUAUUGCGCAAUGGCCGAAAGGCUGACGCAGCGACGCCGCGUGAAGGAUGAAG
This 392-nucleotide ribosomal RNA is filed under the name uncultured bacterium. Its description in RNAcentral is "bacterial SSU rRNA". It matches the Rfam family "Bacterial small subunit ribosomal RNA", at positions 28 to 413 of the family's 1533-position model. The record is from RNAcentral.